Molecule: non-coding RNA, 57 nt
Organism: Panagrellus redivivus
Lineage: Eukaryota; Metazoa; Nematoda; Chromadorea; Rhabditida; Panagrolaimidae
Source: Rfam
AUUUGAGUCCACGAUGCACCUUGUAACGGUAAUUCAAGGUACACCGUGAACUCAAAU